GAGUAUUCCCAGUGAAGCUGAAAUAUACAGCACAGUGCAGCUUUGGUUCAUAUUCAGUCAUCUCAGGAGAACUUCAGAAGAGCUUGACUAGGCCAAAUAUUGAAGUUAAGUUUUCAAAUAAUGGAACUUUUUAAGAUGCCUUUUAAAGGGGAGGGGCAAGUUUUGGCAAUUAGUUGGCAGUGGCCUGUUUUGGUUGGGGUUGGGUGGGUUGGGUUUAGGUAAUUGUUUAGUUUAUGAUUUCAGAUAACUCAUGCCAGAGAACUUAAAUACUUAGGAUGGAAAAACUAAAGAAAUCUCACCUCCCAAGUUGGCAAGUAACUCCUGAUCCUCUAGUUUCUUGUUUUACCCCAAUUUUUGAACUGGACAGCUGGGAACUUCAAAGAUUCACUGGAUUUAAAGUGUAGGGCUUGGGAAAGGAAAGUGUUGGAUUGGGGGUUGGUCUAGCCCACUGGGUUGACCAAGAUAAAAACUUGGGGAAUUGUUUAAACACUAAAGUUGUUUGGAUAUGGUAGUGUGUGGUUCUCUUUUGGAAUUUUUUUCAGGUGAUUUAAUAAAACUUAAUACUACUAUAGGAGCUUCAGAGCAAAGGAAGUGGCUUAAUGAUCCUGAAGGGAUUUCUUCUGAUGGUAGCUUUUAUAUUAUCAAACUUUUUUCAGAUAACAUCUUCUGAGUCAUACCCAGCCUGGCAAUAUGAUGGCCUAGAUGGAGAGGGGAACAGCUCCUUGACAGGUUUCUCUAUCAGAAGAGUUGCUUCAUAUCAUCUGGGAGCAGAAAACAGCAGGCAGCUGUUCACAGAUAAGUUUAACUUGCAUCUGCAGUAUUGCAUGUUAGGGAUAAGUGCUAUGUUUAAUAAGAGCUGUGGAGGUCCUAGGUCCCUUACUCAAGGGAUCUCAGGAUUUUGAGGAAUUUUCCCAUCCAGCCUUUUAAAAUGAGACAGGCCUUAUGCCUGUGGGCUUCCAUGAUGGGCUAACUCACUUCACUCGAGGCAAGUAAUUCCUUAAAGCCUCUUGAGAUUAAUACCUUAAUAAUCAAGGAUAAUGUUGAUAAAAUAAAAAUUUGUUUAGCAUUGAUUCUUGAAAACCCUAUGAAAAGAUAGCAUAAUGUGCUGUUAACCAGAAUCAGAUAUGUUAACCUUGCUAAAAUUUAAAUGUUAUGUGUAUUGUGCAGAAAACCGUAAAAUCACUCAAAAUAAAAUACUUUAUUUAGCGAAUGUAUGCUUUUAGAAAGCUGUCUCCUUAUUUAAAUAAAAUAUUGUUUGUCUGUAGUUAGUGUUGGGCAAUCUUGGGGGGAUUCUUCUCAUCUUUCAGAGACUUUGUCUGCGAACACUCUGUAAUGGACAAGAUCAGGAAUUGAGCUGAAGAACGAAUUUAACUUAAGGCAGGAAAGACAAAUUUUAUCCUUCGUAAAAUUGAUGACCAUUUAAUAAUUCCAGGCACAUGGCCAUAGAGACCCUCUAAAUAAAUAAGGAAUAAAUACUUAUUAGGCAGGUGGGAGAUUAUGAUCAGAAGAACAGGUAACUACACCUACGCAUUUUUCAGAAAGUCAGGAGUCGAAAUUGACAGUACUGAAGUAUAAUGCGGUCCACAUUUCCAAAGUUUGCAUGUUAAAUUGAAAUGCUUACCAUCUCAUCUAGUGUUAGCCAAUGCUUUACACUUAUUAGCCUUUUAUAUAGACACUUGGUGGGGGGCAUGUGGGUUUUUUAAAGAACUUUCCUUUGCAGAGGCUUCGUUUCAUCCUUCAUGAGGCUGUUCAGGAUUUUGACUUGCAUAUAAACGCUUGGCUCUGCCUUCUGUUCUCCUAGUGGGUGUGUGAGACCUUGCAGUGAGUUUUCAGCAUACUCAAGUAAAAA
RNAcentral lists this long non-coding RNA (1849 nucleotides) under Sus scrofa (pig). Its description in RNAcentral is "lncRNA (ENSSSCG00035061082.1, ENSSSCG00045033684.1)". Lineage: Eukaryota; Metazoa; Chordata; Mammalia; Artiodactyla; Suidae. The record is from RNAcentral.